Molecule: ribosomal RNA, 460 nt
Filed under: uncultured bacterium
Lineage: Bacteria
Description: partial 16S ribosomal RNA
Rfam family: Bacterial small subunit ribosomal RNA
Source: RNAcentral
CCUACGGGUGGCAGCAGUGAGGAAUAUUGGUCAAUGGACGAGAGUCUGAACCAGCCAAGUAGCGUGAAGGAUGACUGCCCUAUGGGUUGUAAACUUCUUUUAUAUGGGAAUAAAACGUUCCACGUGUGGGAUUUUGUAUGUACCAUAUGAAUAAGGAUCGGCUAACUCCGUGCCAGCAGCCGCGGUAAUACGGAGGAUCCGAGCGUUAUCCGGAUUUAUUGGGUUUAAAGGGAGCGUAGGUGGAUUGUUAAGUCAGUUGUGAAAGUUUGCGGCUCAACCGUAAAAUUGCAGUUGAAACUGGCAGUCUUGAGUAAAGUAGAGGUGGGCGGAAUUCGUGGUGUAGCGGUGAAAUGCUUAGAUAUCACGAAGAACUCCGAUUGCGAAGGCAGUUCACUGGACUGCAACUGACACUGAGGCUCGAAAGUGUGGGUAUCAAACAGGAUUAGAUACCCUAGUAGUC